GCAAUGAUGACAAGUUUUGGUUUUGAUCAGCAGUGAAAAAAGCACUACCAAUUCCUCUAAGAAGUUCUGAGCUC
Molecule: small nucleolar RNA, 74 nt
Filed under: Monopterus albus (swamp eel)
Lineage: Eukaryota; Metazoa; Chordata; Actinopteri; Synbranchiformes; Synbranchidae
Description: Small nucleolar RNA SNORD61 (ENSMALG00000017450.1)
Rfam family: Small nucleolar RNA SNORD61
About the family: U61 belongs to the C/D class of snoRNA which contain the C (UGAUGA) and D (CUGA) box motifs.
Source: RNAcentral